AUGUGGACUCCUACCAAAACCAAAAUGUGGACUGAAGUAAAACUUUUGUUGGGUCUGAAAAAGUUUCAUAACCAUCCUUGGUGUGUUUCAUUUUCAUGCUCUGUUUGCAUGCUUCACGGCUUUCUAGUUCUACUAAAAGCAGAAGUGCCACAAUAUUUUAAUGACGUUUCUUCUGAUGACACUGAAAGACCAGGUGUUAACAGUCAACAACAUGUCAGGAAGAGGAUGCAGACUUUCCUAAGAGACUGUAGCCUUCCCUUGAGGAGCAGCCAUACAGUGAACGCCUUCAGGGCAAGGACUGUGCCUGAUUCUGUAUCUCCAGCUUCGUCCAUAGUGUUUGGUACACACACUUAUCCUUCCUGCCACCAUGUGAAGAAGGACGUGUUUGCUUCCCCUUUUGCCAUGAUUGUAAGUUUCCUGAGGCCUACCCAGCCAUACUGAACUGUGAGUCAAUUAAACCUCUUUCCUUUAUAAAUUUCCCAGUCUUGGGUAUGUUUUUAUUAGCAGUGUUAGAAUGGACUAAUACCCAGAAUUAAAAAGAGUAUUUGAGUUCUUUGUUUUGUCCAUUGUUAGUUUCUCAUUCAUCUUUCUACAGUCAGUACUAAAGAUAUAGCAUCAUUGAAGUGUAGUUGGUUGGAAUCUCUUCCUUUAAUCAAGAGAUUUUUAAAAAUUUAGUGCUUUUUAUAGGACACUCUUAUGAAUUGAACUGUGUCCUCCAUAAAGGUAUGUUAAAGCCUUAGUAAAGAUACAUGUGAAUGUAACCUUAUUCGCAAGCAGGAUCAUUGCAGGUGUAAUCAAGUUAAGAUAAUGUCAUACUGGAUUAGGCUGGUGAUACCAUUUGGCUCUGUGUCCCCACUCAAAUCUUAUCUUGUAGCUCCCAUAAUUCCCAUGUGUUGUGGGAGGGACCUGGUGUGAGAUGACUGAAUCAUGGGGGUGGGUCGUACCUGUGCUGUUCUCAUGAUAGUGAAUGAGUCUCAAGAAAUCUGAUGGCUUUAAAAAUGGGAGUUUCCCUGCAGAAGCUCCUCUCUUUGCCUGUUGCCAUCCAUGUAAGAUGUGACUUGCUCCUCCUUGCCUUCCACCAUGAUUGUGAGGCCUCCCCAGCCAUGUGGGACUAUAAGUCCAAUAAACCUCUUUCUUUAGUAAAUUGCAGUCUUGGGUAUGUCUUUAACAGCAGUAUGUAAACGGACUAAUAUAGUUGGAUUAGUGAUUGGAAUGAUGCUUCUACAAGCCAAGGAAUGCCAGGUAUUACUGGCAACCACCAGAAGCUGGAAGAAAUAAUGAAGGAUAGACCACCAGAGCUUUUAGAGACAGCAUGGUCCUGCCAACAUUUUGAGUCCAUACUUCUAGCCUCUGGAACAAUGUAACAAUGCAUUCCUGUUGUUGUAAGCCACCAAAUUUGUGGUCAUUCGUUAUGAUAGUCCCAGGAAACUAAUAAAGACAGUGUUACUUUGGGUUACCUUAUGUAAUAAAGUUAGUCCUCCAAGGAAUAAACUUUUUGGCUCUUCUGUCUCAGAAUUGAGUACUAAUAAUAAUCCAUUCUGGAUGGAUACUCCCAAAUGAGUAACCACACCAUUUUUCAAAAACACUAUGGUGAAACUUGCAUUAUGGUAUAUUGUUUAUUCAUAAUAAGCUAUCUAUAGAUAUCCACUGUACAAAAUGGACACUCAAGCUAACAUAUUUGCUAUUUGCUAAAUUAAUUCCACCC
Long non-coding RNA from Papio anubis (olive baboon), 1705 nucleotides. Lineage: Eukaryota; Metazoa; Chordata; Mammalia; Primates; Cercopithecidae. The record is from Ensembl.